CUUAUUCCUGGACCUCCUAUUUAUAGACAAAUUUUUUAUAAUUUUUUGGUAGGAAAAGGAGUCCUAAAAUCCUUAGAAAUCAUAUUAAUCCCUUAGGAAUAUUCCUGGCCAUCUGAUCAGGCUUGGAUAGCUCAGAUCUGAUCAAAAAUCAACCAUUUUAAUCCUUAUCAGGGUUGGAUCGAACCACAGCCAUUCGAUCUGGGUUCGGAUAAGAUCUGAGCUGUCGAUCAGCACUUCUGAUCUCCAAUUCAAAGUCGGGAGCAUCCUCAGCUGCUGGAUCUAAGUCGAAUUGAAUCUCAGCCAUUAAAUCAUG
Molecule: long non-coding RNA, 313 nt
Filed under: Elaeis guineensis (African oil palm)
Lineage: Eukaryota; Viridiplantae; Streptophyta; Magnoliopsida; Arecales; Arecaceae
Description: long non-coding RNA (EGUI_LNC055483)
Source: RNAcentral